RNAcentral lists this ribosomal RNA (440 nucleotides) under uncultured bacterium. RNAcentral's name for it is "partial 16S ribosomal RNA". It matches the Rfam family "Bacterial small subunit ribosomal RNA", at positions 338 to 795 of the family's 1533-position model. The record is from RNAcentral.
CCUACGGGCGGCAGCAGUGGGGAAUAUUGCACAAUGGGGGAAACCCUGAUGCAGCGACGCCGCGUGAGUGAAGAAGGAUUUCGGUAUGUAAAGCUCUGUCAGCAGGGAAGAAAAUGACGGUACCUGACCAAGAAGCUCCGGCUAACUACGUGCCAGCCGCCGCGGGAAUACGUAGGGGGCAAGCGUUAUCCGGAUUUACUGGGUGUAAAGGGAGCGUAGACGGCAGGGCAAGGCUGGAGUGAAAGGCUGGGGCUCAACCCCCGAACUGCUCUUGAUACUGCCAGGCUGGAGUGCAGGAGAGGUAAGUGGAAUUCCUAGUGUAGCGGUGAAAUGCGUAGAUAUUAGGAGGAACACCAGUGGCGAAGGCGGCUUACUGGACUGUAACUGACGUUGAGGCUCGAAAGCGUGGGGAGCAAACAGGAUUAGAUACCCGUGUAGUC